GACGAACGCUGGCGGCGUGCCUAAUACAUGCAAGUCGAGCGAAGUUUUUCUGGUGCUUGCACCGGAAAAACUUAGCGGCGAACGGGUGAGUAACACGUAAAGAACCUGCCUCAUAGACUGGGACAACUAUUGGAAACGAUAGCUAAUACCGGAUAAUAGCAUUAACUGCAUGGUUGAUGUUUAAAAGUUGGUUUUGCUAACACUAUGAGAUGGCUUUGCGGUGCAUUAGCUAGUUGGUGGGGUAAAGGCCUACCAAGGCGACGAUGCAUAGCCGACCUGAGAGGGUGAUCGGCCACACUGGGACUGAGACACGGCCCAGACUCCUACGGGAGGCAGCAGUAGGGAAUCUUCCGCAAUGGGCGAAAGCCUGACGGAGCAACGCCGCGUGAGUGAAGAAGGAUUUCGGUUCGUAAAGCUCUGUUGUUAGGGAAGAAUGAGUGUGUAGUAACUAUACACAGUAGAGACGGUACCUAACCAGAAAGCCACGGCUAACUACGUG
Molecule: ribosomal RNA, 499 nt
Filed under: uncultured bacterium
Lineage: Bacteria
Description: partial 16S ribosomal RNA
Rfam family: Bacterial small subunit ribosomal RNA
Source: RNAcentral